This 2897-nucleotide ribosomal RNA is filed under the name Escherichia coli. Its description in RNAcentral is "23S ribosomal RNA". It matches the Rfam family "Bacterial large subunit ribosomal RNA". Lineage: Bacteria; Pseudomonadati; Pseudomonadota; Gammaproteobacteria; Enterobacterales; Enterobacteriaceae. The record is from RNAcentral.
UUAAGCGACUAAGCGUACACGGUGGAUGCCCUGGCAGUCAGAGGCGAUGAAGGACGUGCUAAUCUGCGAUAAGCGUCGGUGAGGUGAUAUGAACCGUUAUAACCGGCGAUUUCCGAAUGGGGAAACCCAGUGUGUUUCGACACACUAUCAUUAACUGAAUCCAUAGGUUAAUGAGGCGAACCGGGGGAACUGAAACAUCUAAGUACCCCGAGGAAAAGAAAUCAACCGAGAUUCCCCCAGUAGCGGCGAGCGAACGGGGAGGAGCCCAGAGCCUGAAUCAGUGUGUGUGUUAGUGGAAGCGUCUGGAAAGGCGCGCGAUACAGGGUGACAGCCCCGUACACAAAAAUGCACAUAUUGUGAGCUCGAUGAGUAGGGCGGGACACGUGGUAUCCUGUCUGAAUAUGGGGGGACCAUCCUCCAAGGCUAAAUACUCCUGACUGACCGAUAGUGAACCAGUACCGUGAGGGAAAGGCGAAAAGAACCCCGGCGAGGGAGUGAAAAAGAACCUGAAACCGUGUACGUACAAGCAGUGGGAGCCUCUUAAUGGGGUGACUGCGUACCUUUUGUAUAAUGGGUCAGCGACUUAUAUUCUGUAGCAAGGUUAACCGAAUAGGGGAGCCGAAGGGAAACCGAGUCUUAACUGGGCGUUAAGUUGCAGGGUAUAGACCCGAAACCCGGUGAUCUAGCCAUGGGCAGGUUGAAGGUUGGGUAACACUAACUGGAGGACCGAACCGACUAAUGUUGAAAAAUUAGCGGAUGACUUGUGGCUGGGGGUGAAAGGCCAAUCAAACCGGGAGAUAGCUGGUUCUCCCCGAAAGCUAUUUAGGUAGCGCCUCGUGAAUUCAUCUCCGGGGUAGAGCACUGUUUCGGCAAGGGGGUCAUCCCGACUUACCAACCCGAUGCAAACUGCGAAUACCGGAGAAUGUUAUCACGGGAGACACACGGCGGGUGCUAACGUCCGUCGUGAAGAGGGAAACAACCCAGACCGCCAGCUAAGGUCCCAAAGUCAUGGUUAAGUGGGAAACGAUGUGGGAAGGCCCAGACAGCCAGGAUGUUGGCUUAGAAGCAGCCAUCAUUUAAAGAAAGCGUAAUAGCUCACUGGUCGAGUCGGCCUGCGCGGAAGAUGUAACGGGGCUAAACCAUGCACCGAAGCUGCGGCAGCGACACUAUGUGUUGUUGGGUAGGGGAGCGUUCUGUAAGCCUGUGAAGGUGUACUGUGAGGUAUGCUGGAGGUAUCAGAAGUGCGAAUGCUGACAUAAGUAACGAUAAAGCGGGUGAAAAGCCCGCUCGCCGGAAGACCAAGGGUUCCUGUCCAACGUUAAUCGGGGCAGGGUGAGUCGACCCCUAAGGCGAGGCCGAAAGGCGUAGUCGAUGGGAAACAGGUUAAUAUUCCUGUACUUGGUGUUACUGCGAAGGGGGACGGAGAAGGCUAUGUUGGCCGGGCGACGGUUGUCCCGGUUUAAGCGUGUAGGCUGGUUUUCCAGGCAAAUCCGGAAAAUCAAGGCUGAGGCGUGAUGACGAGGCACUACGGUGCUGAAGCGACAAAUGCCCUGCUUCCAGGAAAAGCCUCUAAGCAUCAGGUAACAUCAAAUCGUACCCCAAACCGACACAGGUGGUCAGGUAGAGAAUACCAAGGCGCUUGAGAGAACUCGGGUGAAGGAACUAGGCAAAAUGGUGCCGUAACUUCGGGAGAAGGCACGCUGAUAUGUAGGUGAAGCGACUUGCUCGUGGAGCUGAAAUCAGUCGAAGAUACCAGCUGGCUGCAACUGUUUAUUAAAAACACAGCACUGUGCAAACACGAAAGUGGACGUAUACGGUGUGACGCCUGCCCGGUGCCGGAAGGUUAAUUGAUGGGGUUAGCGGUAACGCGAAGCUCUUGAUCGAAGCCCCGGUAAACGGCGGCCGUAACUAUAACGGUCCUAAGGUAGCGAAAUUCCUUGUCGGGUAAGUUCCGACCUGCACGAAUGGCGUAAUGAUGGCCAGGCUGUCUCCACCCGAGACUCAGUGAAAUUGAACUCGCUGUGAAGAUGCAGUGUACCCGCGGCAAGACGGAAAGACCCCGUGAACCUUUACUAUAGCUUGACACUGAACAUUGAGCCUUGAUGUGUAGGAUAGGUGGGAGGCUUUGAAGUGUGGACGCCAGUCUGCAUGGAGCCGACCUUGAAAUACCACCCUUUAAUGUUUGAUGUUCUAACGUGGGCCCCUUACCGGGGUUGCGGACAGUGUCUGGUGGGUAGUUUGACUGGGGCGGUCUCCUCCUAAAGAGUAACGGAGGAGCACGAAGGUUGGCUAAUCCUGGUCGGACAUCAGGAGGUUAGUGCAAUGGCAUAAGCCAGCUUGACUGCGAGCGUGACGGCGCGAGCAGGUGCGAAAGCAGGUCAUAGUGAUCCGGUGGUUCUGAAUGGAAGGGCCAUCGCUCAACGGAUAAAAGGUACUCCGGGGAUAACAGGCUGAUACCGCCCAAGAGUUCAUAUCGACGGCGGUGUUUGGCACCUCGAUGUCGGCUCAUCACAUCCUGGGGCUGAAGUAGGUCCCAAGGGUAUGGCUGUUCGCCAUUUAAAGUGGUACGCGAGCUGGGUUUAGAACGUCGUGAGACAGUUCGGUCCCUAUCUGCCGUGGGCGCUGGAGAACUGAGGGGGCUGCUCCUAGUACGAGAGGACCGGAGUGGACGCAUCACUGGUGUUCGGGUUGUCAUGCCAAUGGCACUGCCCGGUAGCUAAAUGCGGAAGAGAUAAGUGCUGAAAGCAUCUAAGCACGAAACUUGCCCCGAGAUGAGUUCUCCCUGACUCCUUGAGAGUCCUGAAGGAACGUUGAAGACGACGACGUUGAUAGGCCGGGUGUGUAAGCGCAGCGAUGCGUUGAGCUAACCGGUACUAAUGAACCGUGAGGCUUAACCU